This 253-nucleotide ribosomal RNA is filed under the name uncultured bacterium. RNAcentral describes it as "partial 16S ribosomal RNA". It matches the Rfam family "Bacterial small subunit ribosomal RNA", at positions 524 to 776 of the family's 1533-position model. The record is from RNAcentral.
UACGGAGGGUGCGAGCGUUACCCGGAUUUACUGGGUGUAAAGGGCGUGUAGGCGGCUUUAUAAGUCCGAUGCUAAAGACUGAGGCUCAACCUCAGGAGUGCGUUGGAUACUGUAGAGCUAGACGGUCGGAGAGGGUAGCGGAAUUUCCUGAGUAGCGGUGAAAUGCGCAGAUACAGGAAGGAACGCCAAUAGCGAAAGCAGCUACCUGGACGAUUUGUGACGCUGAGGCGCGAAAGCGUGGGGAGCAAACCGG